AACCCGGUGCGCAACUGGCGAUAGGCACCAGGUUUUUCUGACUGUUGGUGCUGACGUGGGACACCACUGGGAAGCGCACCGCUGGCGGCCAUUUGGCCCCCAGCGUUCAGCCGUUCGUCUGGGCAGCCCUU
Molecule: non-coding RNA, 131 nt
Filed under: Burkholderiales bacterium
Lineage: Bacteria; Pseudomonadati; Pseudomonadota; Betaproteobacteria; Burkholderiales
Description: ZTP sequence
Rfam family: ZMP/ZTP riboswitch aptamer (pfl RNA motif)
About the family: Previously known as pfl RNA. ZMP is also known as AICAR.
Source: RNAcentral